UGUCGUCAGCUCGUGUUGUGAAAUGUUGGGUUAAGUCCCGCAACGAGCGCAACCCUUAUCCUUUGUUGCCAGCGGUCCGGCCGGGAACUCAAAGGAGACUGCCAGUGAUAAACUGGAGGAAGGUGGGGAUGACGUCAAGUCAUCAUGGCCCUUACGACCAGGGCUACACACGUGCUACAAUGGCGCAUACAAAGAGAAGCGACCUCGCGAGAGCAAGCGGACCUCAUAAAGUGCGUCGUAGUCCGGAUUGGAGUCUGCAACUCGACUCCAUGAAGUCGGAAUCGCUAGUAAUCGUGGAUCAGAAUGCCACGGUGAAUACGUUCCCGGGCCUUGUACACACCGCCCGUCACACCAUGGGAGUGGGUUGCAAAAGAAGUAGGUAGCUUAACCUUCGGGAG
This 398-nucleotide ribosomal RNA is filed under the name Escherichia coli. RNAcentral describes it as "bacterial SSU rRNA". It matches the Rfam family "Bacterial small subunit ribosomal RNA", at positions 1050 to 1448 of the family's 1533-position model. The record is from RNAcentral. Lineage: Bacteria; Pseudomonadati; Pseudomonadota; Gammaproteobacteria; Enterobacterales; Enterobacteriaceae.